Molecule: ribosomal RNA, 460 nt
Filed under: uncultured bacterium
Lineage: Bacteria
Description: partial 16S ribosomal RNA
Rfam family: Bacterial small subunit ribosomal RNA
Source: RNAcentral
CCUACGGGUGGCAGCAGUGAGGAAUAUUGGUCAAUGGACGAGAGUCUGAACCAGCCAAGUAGCAUGAAGGAUGACUGCCCUAUGGGUUGUAAACUUCUUUUAUAUGGGAAUAAAAUGUUCCACGUGUGGGUUUUUGUAUGUACCAUAUGAAUAAGGAUCGGCUAACUCCGUGCCAGCAGCCGCGGUAAUACGGAGGAUCCGAGAGUUAUCCGGAUUUAUUGGGUUUAAAGGGAGCGUAGGUGGAUUGUUAAGUCAGUUGUGAAAGUUUGCGGCUCAACCGUAAAAUUGCAGUUGAAACUGGCAGUCUUGAGUACAGUAGAGGUGGGCGGAAUUCGUGGUGUAGCGGUGAAAUGCUUAGAUAUCACGAAGAACUCCGAUUGCGAAGGCAGCUCACUGGACUGCAACUGACACUGAGGCUCGAAAGUGUGGGUAUCAAACAGGAUUAGAUACCCCAGUAGUC